AGGGUUUGAUCAUGGCUCAGGAUGAACGCUGGCGGCGUGCUUAACACAUGCAAGUCGAACGAGGAAUUUCAAAUGAGACUUCGGUGGAUUUUGGAAUUCCGAGUGGCGGACGGGUGAGUAACGCGUGGGCAACCUGCCCUGUACAGGGGGACAACAGCUGGAAACGGCUGCUAAUACCGCAUAAGCGCACGGUAUCGCAUGAUACAGUGUGAAAAACUCCGGUGGUACAGGAUGGGCCCGCGUUGGAUUAGGUAGUUGGUGGGGUAACGGCCUACCAAGCCGACGAUCCAUAGCCGACCUGAGAGGGUGACCGGCCACAUUGGGACUGAGACACGGCCCAA
This 341-nucleotide ribosomal RNA is filed under the name uncultured bacterium. RNAcentral describes it as "bacterial SSU rRNA". It matches the Rfam family "Bacterial small subunit ribosomal RNA", at positions 8 to 334 of the family's 1533-position model. The record is from RNAcentral.